RNAcentral lists this small nucleolar RNA (107 nucleotides) under Gossypium arboreum. RNAcentral describes it as "Plant small nucleolar RNA R71". It matches the Rfam family "Plant small nucleolar RNA R71". From Rfam's summary of the family: R71 is a member of the C/D box family of snoRNAs containing the C (UGAUGA) and D (CUGA) box motifs. The record is from Rfam by way of RNAcentral. Lineage: Eukaryota; Viridiplantae; Streptophyta; Magnoliopsida; Malvales; Malvaceae.
AUCCCAUGGUGAGGGCACCUUCUCAAGAGGUCCUUGUAUCUCUCCCAUGCAUCAUAAAGUGUUUUUAGAUACAUCUGCACAAAAGAAGAGAUAUCAUUCCUUAAUUU